UUAGCAUAUCAAUAAGCGGAGGAAAAGAAACCAACAGGGAUUACCUCAGUAACGGCGAGUGAAGCGGUAAUAGCUCAAAUUUGAAAUCUGGCUUCGGUCCGAGUUGUAAUUUGUAGAAGAUGCUUCGGGUGUGGCUCCGGUCUAAGUUCCUUGGAACAGGACGUCAUAGAGGGUGAGAAUCCCGUAUGUGACUGGCUGCCUUCGCCUAUGUGAAGCUCUUUCGACGAGUCGAGUUGUUUGGGAAUGCAGCUCAAAAUGGGUGGUAUAUUUCAUCUAAAGCUAAAUAUUGGCCAGAGACCGAUAGCGCACAAGUAGAGUGAUCGAAAGAUGAAAAGCACUUUGGAAAGAGAGUUAAACAGUACGUGAAAUUGUUGAAAGGGAAGCGUUUGCAACCAGACUUGCACGUUGCCGAUCAUCUGGUGUUCUCACCAGUGCACUCGGUUUCGUUCAGGCCAGCAUCGGUUUGGGUGGUUGGAUAAAGGCCUUGGGAAUGUAGCUUCUUUCGGGGAGUGUUAUAGCCCUCGGUGCAAUGCAGCCUACCUGGACCGAGGACCGCGCUUCGGCUAGGAUGCUGGCGUAAUGGUUGUAAACGACCCGUCUUGAAACACGGACCAAGGAGUCUAACAUCUAUGCGAGUAUUUGGGUGUUAAACCCAUAUGCGUAAUUAACGUGAACGGAGGUAAGAGCCCUUAAGGGUGCAUUAUCGACCGGUCCUGAUGUCUUCGGAAGGAUCUGAGUAAGAGCAUAGCUGUUGGGACCCGAAAGAUGGUGAACUAUGCCUGAAUAGGGUGAAGCCAGAGGAAACUCUGGUGGAGGCUCGCAGCGGUUCUGACGUGCAAAUCGAUCGUCAAAUUUGGGUAUAGGGGCGAAAGACUAAUCGAACCAUCUAGUAGCUGGUUCCUGCCGAAGUCUCC
Molecule: ribosomal RNA, 914 nt
Filed under: Nagrajchalara pseudoaurea
Lineage: Eukaryota; Fungi; Ascomycota; Leotiomycetes; Helotiales
Description: partial large subunit ribosomal RNA
Rfam family: Eukaryotic large subunit ribosomal RNA
Source: RNAcentral